RNAcentral lists this transfer RNA (74 nucleotides) under archaeon CG_4_8_14_3_um_filter_38_5. RNAcentral describes it as "tRNA-Pro". It matches the Rfam family "tRNA". From Rfam's summary of the family: Transfer RNA (tRNA) molecules are approximately 80 nucleotides in length. Their secondary structure includes four short double-helical elements and three loops (D, anti-codon, and T loops). Further hydrogen bonds mediate the characteristic L-shaped molecular structure. tRNAs have two regions of fundamental functional importance: the anti-codon, which is responsible for specific mRNA codon recognition, and the 3' end, to which the tRNAs corresponding amino acid is attached (by aminoacyl-tRNA synthetases). tRNAs cope with the degeneracy of the genetic code in two manners: having more than one tRNA (with a specific anti-codon) for a particular amino acid; and 'wobble' base-pairing, i.e. permitting non-standard base-pairing at the 3rd anti-codon position. RNAcentral also lists the same sequence under 3 other names. The record is from RNAcentral.
GGGCUUGUAGUCUAACUUGGUUAGGAUUCGGGGUUUGGGACCCUGCGAUCCCGGUUCAAAUCCGGGCAAGCUCA